Molecule: ribosomal RNA, 259 nt
Filed under: uncultured bacterium
Lineage: Bacteria
Description: partial 16S ribosomal RNA
Rfam family: Bacterial small subunit ribosomal RNA
Source: RNAcentral
UACGUAGGGGGCGGAGCGUUUGUCCGGAUUUAUUGGGCGUAAAGAGCUCGUAGGCGGCUUAGCAAGUCGGGUGUGAAAACCUCCAGGCUCAACCUGGAGACGCCACUCGAGACUGCUAGUGGCUAGAGUCCGGUAGGGGACCACGGAAUUCCUGGUGUAGCGGUGAAAUGCGCAGAUAUCAGGAGGAACACCGGUGGCGAAGGCGGUGGUCUGGGCCGGCACUGACGCUGGAGGAAGCGAAAGCGUGGGGAGCAAACAG